ACUCCUACGGGAGGCAGCAGUGGGGAAUAUUGCACAAUGGGCGCAAGCCUGAUGCAGCCAUGCCGCGUGUAUGAAGAAGGCCUUCGGGUUGUAAAGUACUUUCAGCAGUGAGGAAGGCGGGUACGUUAAUAGCGUGCUCGUUUGACGUUAGCUGCAGAAGAAGCACCGGCUAACUCCGUGCCAGCAGCCGCGGUAAUACGGAGGGUGCGAGCGUUAAUCGGAAUUACUGGGCGUAAAGCGCAUGCAGGUGGUUUGUUAAGUCAGAUGUGAAAGCCCGGGGGCUCAACCUCGGAAUUGCAUUUGAAACUGGCAGACUAGAGUACUGUAGAGGGGGUAGAAUUUCAGGUGUAGCGGUGAAAUGCGUAGAGAUCUGAAGGAAUACCGGUGGCGAAGGCGGCCCCUGGACAGAUACUGACACUCAGAUGCGAAAGCGUGGGGAGCAAACAGGAUUAGAUACCCUGGUAGCACAGAG
RNAcentral lists this ribosomal RNA (472 nucleotides) under uncultured bacterium. Its description in RNAcentral is "bacterial SSU rRNA". It matches the Rfam family "Bacterial small subunit ribosomal RNA", at positions 335 to 799 of the family's 1533-position model. The record is from RNAcentral.